Molecule: long non-coding RNA, 366 nt
Filed under: Anolis carolinensis (green anole)
Lineage: Eukaryota; Metazoa; Chordata; Lepidosauria; Squamata; Anolidae
Description: lncRNA (ENSACAG00000038292.1)
Source: RNAcentral
AUGGAAUACAACUUGUACAGGAAGAAAAAAAUUACAACUGUUUUCAAGGACAGCCCUUAUAAAUUGCAUGACCGUCUAGCAUUUGCAGCACUUACAAGACGUUUGUUAUUUGCCACCGAAGAACCAAUAGCCAACCCCCUCCAUUUUGAGAUCUGUUGGGGUUCUCCGUUCAAACUGCGACCUGUAACAACAGUUUUGAAAACACAUUUCCCUUCCAUGCAAAUGAUACAGGAAGCAAAGUUGUUAGAAAUCCAAAGACUUGAAAACAUUCAACGCCGGAAGAAGCUCGCAAAGCAAGUGGAGUCAGAAUUUAGAUGCAGGCUACUUUUGGAAAGAAGACCACUGCCCCCAAGUGGUCCCAACUAG